Molecule: ribosomal RNA, 253 nt
Filed under: uncultured bacterium
Lineage: Bacteria
Description: partial 16S ribosomal RNA
Rfam family: Bacterial small subunit ribosomal RNA
Source: RNAcentral
UACGGAGGGUGCAAGCGUUGUUCGGAAUUACUGGGCGUAAAGCGCGCGUAGGUGGCUCGGUAAGUUGAAUGUGAAAUCCCCGGGCUCAACCUGGGAACUGCAUCCAAAACUGCCGAGCUAGAGUAUGGUAGAGGGUGGUGGAAUUUCCUGUGUAGCGGUGAAAUGCGUAGAUAUAGGAAGGAACACCAGUGGCGAAGGCGACCACCUGGACUGAUACUGACACUGAGGUGCGAAAGCGUGGGGAGCAAACAGG